AUAAAAUAUAAAAAUCUUAUUGCGUUGCGGGCCGGAACUCAAACAAAAUGGCAAAAGACCUUGGCAUAAACCUCAAUAGAAUUAUGAAUGAUAAACUCAGUGGGAUAGAAACCACAAGCAUCUUCUCUUUAUCAUCAUUACUUGACCCAAGAUUUAAAACACUCGGAUUCCAAAGCCCUUCAAAUGCCGAGUCAGCUGUGCACCGGUUAAAAUCGGAGUGUGCGGCAUUGUUGCGUAAUGCACCCACCCAAGAGGACCCGCCAUCCACUUCAACAGCACAGCCAGAACCAGCUGCUUCUUCCCAAGUCAUUGGUCUGUGGAAGCUGUUGGACAGGGAUGCUGAAGAAGCAAGAGCGUCCAGGAAUGCCACCGCUGAUGCCAUAGUGGAGGUGCAGCGUUAUCUGUCAGCCCCUCCACUUGAACGAUCACAGGACCCUCUGGUGUACUGGACGACAAACAAAGCCCUGUACCCAAACCUGUACCACCUGGCAAACCAGUACCUCGCAACACCAGCAUCCUCUGUGCCCUGCGAGAGGGUGUUUUCUAAAGCCGGGGAAAUAGUUUCAAAAAAGAGAAACCGCCUCAAACCCUCGACUGGAGAAACUGUUGUUUUUAAAUAAAAAUGCAUAAGCACACCAGUUCACCCAAGCACCUUAGGCCCAUACCCCCAUCUGUUCCUAAAAUAUAUAGAAAAAUAAUAUUAUAAUAAUAAUACAACAUCAAAAGUGCACAAACAGCAAAACUCAAAGUGCACGCUUGCUG
RNAcentral lists this long non-coding RNA (762 nucleotides) under Takifugu rubripes (torafugu). RNAcentral's name for it is "lncRNA (ENSTRUG00000032714.1)". Lineage: Eukaryota; Metazoa; Chordata; Actinopteri; Tetraodontiformes; Tetraodontidae. The record is from RNAcentral.